Molecule: transfer RNA, 73 nt
Filed under: Chelonia mydas (Green sea turtle)
Lineage: Eukaryota; Metazoa; Chordata; Testudines; Cheloniidae
Rfam family: tRNA
About the family: Transfer RNA (tRNA) molecules are approximately 80 nucleotides in length. Their secondary structure includes four short double-helical elements and three loops (D, anti-codon, and T loops).
Source: Rfam by way of RNAcentral
GGCAUCUUAGCUCAGUGGUUUGAGCAUUGGCCUACUAAACCCAGGGUUGUGAGUUCAAUCCUCAAGGGGGCCA